AGAAGCAAUCUGUGAAGAAGAGAGGAAGAAAAAUAGCUUACGAAGGUGAAAAGCCCCGUCAAGUUCGGAAGUGUUGUGUUGUGGUCAGCAUAAAAAUAAGAAAAGGGUUCACCUUCGAGGAAAAAGUAGGUAGAAGAAUCGAGGUCGACACGAUGGCUUCGGCUGGAGUAGGUGGGCGAGAUGCCAGCAGGAAGAAUGUUCCCAGCAGCAAAGGUGGUUCCGUUUUCGGGAUGCUCCGGGUCACAAGAGUCGUGUUGAUAGUGAUGAUGUCCUGCUGCUGGUUGUUAGUGUGUGGGAAGCCGUUUGUGCCGCCGCCAUCAGCCGGAAAUCGACAGCCAAAGGCAUGGGACUUCGAUGAUAAUGUGCAAAACUACUUGAUGGAGUUUGGUUAUUUGCCCAAAUCGAACAUUGAGACGGGCAAUUUGCGGACAAUGGAGCAGCUACAGGAAGCGGUGCGGUUAUUUCAGUCCUUUGCCAACCUGGAUCCGUCGGGCGAAAUCAACCGGGAAACGUUGGAACUGAUGCGGAAGCCCCGUUGCGGGGCUCCCGAUCUGUCCAAUUCCCUCGAUUUCAUGCCCUCGAACAGUCUGAGUCCACUUGGGUUCGAUCACCGACGGCAGCGGCGCUUCAUUAUCCAGGGCCAGAAGUGGGAACAUCCCAUCGUAACUUGGAGGUAAGAGGACCGCGAACAGAAGAAAAAAAAAAUCAGAUUGCUUAAUUUGACCAUCGUAAGCAUACGAGUCACGUACGUAGAGGGUGGUGGUUUGCGGUGGGGAAUGGCCAUUUGCGAAGCAAUUUGCAGAAACUAGUCAGUCCAAGGUAAGCCAACAUACGUGCCCCCUUGUAGGGUGGUACCUACAAACAACCAUAUGGUCGAUUUAGUCGUUCACGGCGCAAACUUUUAUCACUUUAACAACACUAAAAGUCAGCGACAGUCAGUAGCAGCAGCAGCAGCCACCAAACAACUGAUCCCGACUUGGGUUGACACCGGGGCUGGUCGUAG
This is an RNA transcript of Ochlerotatus camptorhynchus, 1003 nucleotides long. It is a transcript of the gene named matrix metalloproteinase-2-like, with no coding region annotated. The transcript has 5 exons. NCBI's taxonomy places the organism in Eukaryota, Metazoa, Arthropoda, Insecta, Diptera, Culicidae. The record is from RefSeq and is a predicted model, not a curated record.